Vicugna pacos (alpaca) is the source of this 1993-nucleotide non-coding RNA. Lineage: Eukaryota; Metazoa; Chordata; Mammalia; Artiodactyla; Camelidae. The record is from RefSeq and is a predicted model, not a curated record.
AUGACACCAGAAUCUAACAUUUAUUGAGUUCUUGAUAUGUGAUGGGCUCUAUAAUAAGCAUUAUCUCACCUAAUCGUCCCAAAAUACUCUGCAUUAUAUAUUAUUAUUAUUACUUCUAUUUUACAGAAGAAGAGACUGAGACUUACAGGUUACAGAUGUUACAGAUCAUGUGACAAAGAAGUAGCUGAGAGAAACCUAAAUACAGGUGGGGACGAGGGAAGUCUCCUGUCUGCCCGGGGGUGCAAUUUAUCCACCACUUUCACUUGGAAGCUUGCCGAGAGCCACCCACCAGACCUGAGGUACUCACUGUCACUACCAGCGGUCACGCUGCACCCGCUGCAUGGCUCCACCAUUGUACUUCCCUCUGUGCUGUGACCAUCACUCUCUUGUCGGUCUCCUCCACUGGACAGAUAGCUCCUUGACAACAGGAACUUGUUAUCUUGGUUCCCGGACAGCACCACCCAUGCAACAAACAUGUAAUAGCGUGUUAUGAGAGCGUUGGGACUUUUGGUUGUGAACAACAGAAUCCAACGCCUACAGGUUUAGCUUGCAGAAGAGCCCGAUGAGAAGAUACUACUUAGCUCACAGGGUCACCUGGAGAAGCAAGAGCUUGCUUCAGUGGUAAUGCAGCCAGAAAAGGCCCCCAGUCGCUCCACAAAACUGCUCAUGUGUGGUCACUUCGCACCCCCCACAGAGAACCAGCCCUCCCACCUCAGCCAGCCUGUAGCAGCUCUGACUCAUCUGUUUGAUAUUUUGAGCUGUGACAUAAAUAUCCUUUGAAGAAAGGGUUUCAUAGAUUAAAAAAAAGAAGAAAUAUAUGGUCUGUAAGGAGAGGUCCAGGGGCUUCAUAAAUUGGUACUUAUAUUUAUACUUAGGUGUUUUAAUAAAGAUUUAUCACACUGAUUUAUUUUGGUAAUUGAGGAACUGUAAAAUUAAUAUUCAGUCACUCAGUCAGUUAUUUGUUCAUUCACCCAAUAUUUACAAAGUAUCCUUCAUGUAAAAGGCACUGCAGAGUUCCAUCUUCAUGACAGGCCUCGGUAAGUUUAAGACACUAUGCUCCUAAGAAAUGAACCAGGCAGGAAUUAUAGUUUCCAUUUUAUAGAUGAGUAAAUCAAGGCUCAGAGAAGCUAAGUGACUUGCUUACCUGAUGAGCCCACAGUUUGAAACAGGUCUUUCAACUGUGCUGCUUGGACUUGCCAAUCAUAUCAAAUAUUAUAGAGCACCCAAGCAGUGUGUGGUCUGAGAAGAGACUUCUGAAUCUGUCAGGUUGUGGGUUGUUGGGCUGCACCCCGCCGGCCUGCAAGCCUUGUAGCUGCCUGGCCUUAAGACCGAACAAAGAGCCCGGAGACAGUGAGAGAGACAUCAGUGGUUCAUUGGUUAGGGGACCUUACACAAAGGUCCUGGAGUGACAUCCCACCGUGUGCAGCAGCCAGCCAGCAGAAGCAGCAGUCUUCGCUUCUUGGGAGACAAGGACGCUACUAUUUAUAGGGAGAAUUGAGGUGAGGUGGGCUCAUCAGGCACUAAUUAAGCCCUAUAAUUAAGAGGAUUGGAUUCUCAUGUGAGUGUAGCUAAGACUGGUUGAGCAGGGGAUGCACAGAGAGCCAGAAGACAGUCAUCUUGAGUGACCUGACCAUGCAUAGGUCAUUGGUGGUGACCUUUGAGAAACAAUUUAUUUGGCUAGGUGAACGUGGCAACCAGGUUGUAGAGGGUUAAUUGGUGAAUGUGAUGAAGAAGUGGCACCAGCGAGCACAAACCAUUCUUUCCAAACAUUUGACAGUAAAGGAAAUGAUUGACAGAACUGUGGCUUGAGGAGAAAACAAUGAAGGUUUGGUGAGACUGGAACUUGAGCAUGAUUGUAGAUAGAGACUAUGGAGAUAAAAAGGCUUAAAAACAAAAGAGACUCAUAGACAUAGAAUACAAACUUGUGGCUGCCAAGGGAAAGGGGGGUGGGAAGGGACAGACUGGGAGUUAAAGAUUUGUAGAUACUGUCAGG